This is a long non-coding RNA of Anopheles nili, 591 nucleotides long. RefSeq lists it as uncharacterized. The transcript is spliced from 3 exons. NCBI's taxonomy places the organism in Eukaryota, Metazoa, Arthropoda, Insecta, Diptera, Culicidae. The record is from RefSeq and is a predicted model, not a curated record.
UUUACGUACUUUACGCGGCCGAAGCAGAAUGUUCGUUCCGGGUUUAUCGCACGGCAUAACCCGUGCGCGAUAUGAGAUGUAGCUGAUCGUUCGGCGAUCGUGUUGUAAGUGAGCGCGUGUUGUUUGUGCGAGUGCCCCCAAAAGGAUCGAGUGCAUACACACCCGCAAGAGUGAAUAAUAAAUCUAAAUGAUCCCACUUAGUGCGAUUGCGAAACCCAAUCAGCAGUGAACCUGUGAAGCAAUUAGUUUGCGCACACCUCAAUGAGUGGUGCCAUUGUUCCAGCGCUAACGACAGAAAGCGGAUUUAACACACGCCUAUGGCGAAAGGCCCGUUUGGUGGCAAACGUGUGCUGAUCGUACCGUGAAGCCCGCCACAUUCGGUAACACACACGUGCAGGGAGCUGGCUGCAACGAACGUGAGAAAAAGAAAAAAAAAACAAGCUUGCAAAAACAAGGCGCCACGUGAACCUUGGAACUGCGCUUAGUGCUGUUUCGUGUGCGUCCUUCUCCGGUGGUAGCCUUGGGCGGCGUAGACGUGGCGAACGAGUAAACCCGAUCGGUGGUGAAAAUUUCAUCAAUUUUCGUGCUCCC